Molecule: ribosomal RNA, 1287 nt
Filed under: Rhynchocypris lagowskii (Amur minnow)
Lineage: Eukaryota; Metazoa; Chordata; Actinopteri; Cypriniformes; Leuciscidae
Description: partial 16S ribosomal RNA
Rfam family: Bacterial large subunit ribosomal RNA
Source: RNAcentral
CAUGAUUUAGCCAGCACCCCCAAGCAAAGAGACCUUUAGUUUGAUGCCCCGAAACCAGGUGAGCUACCCCGAGACAGCCUAUAUUAAUCUAGGGCUAACCCGUCUCUGUGGCAAAAGAGUGGGAAGAGCUCCGGGUAGAAGUGAAAGACCUACCGAACCUGGUGAUAGCUGGUUGACUGAGAAAUGGAUAGAAGUUCAGCCUCGUACACCCCAAACCAAGAAAUGUUAUCGCCAAGAUAUUUAGGGAAACAUACGAGAGUUAGUUGAAAGGGGUACAGCCCUUUUAACAAAGGAUACAACCUUUACAGGAGGAUAAAGAUCAUAAUGUAUAAAAUAUACUGUUCUAGUGGGCCUGAAAGCAGCCACCUAAACAGAAAGCGUUAAAGCUCGGACAGAAAGAAGUUUAUUAUAUUGAUAAAAAAUCUUAUUCCCCUAACUAUAUCAGACCAACCCAUGCCCACAUGGAAGAGAUUAUGCUAAAAUGAGUAAUAAGAAGACCCGCUCUUCUCCCAGCACAAGUGUAAACCAGAUCGGACCAACCACUGGAGCUUAACGAACCCAACCCAAGAGGGUAGUGUGAUUAAGAGAGAACACGAGAAGACCUCACAUUAAUUGAUCGUUAACCCCACACUGGAGUGCUAUUUUAAGGGAAAGACUAAAAGAAAGGGAAGGAACUCGGCAAACACAAGCCUCGCCUGUUUACCAAAAACAUCGCCUCCUGCAACUAGACUGAGUAUAGGAGGUCCAGCCUGCCCAGUGACUACGGGUUCAACGGCCGCGGUAUCUUGACCGUGCAAAGGUAGCGCAAUCACUUGUCUCUUAAAUAGAGACCUGUAUGAAUGGCUAGACGAGGGCUUAACUGUCUCCCCCUUCCAGUCAGUGAAAUUGAUCUAUCCGUGCAGAAGCGGGUAUAAAUAUACAAGACGAGAAGACCCUUUGGAGCUUAAGGUACAAAAUUCAACCACGUUAAACAACUCUGUGAAAAGCAAGAACUUAGUGACAAUGAAAUUUUACCUUCGGUUGGGGCGACCGCGGAGGAAAAACCAGCCUCCGAGUGGACUGGGCCAAACCCCUGAAGCCAAUAGAGACAUCUAUAAGCCGCAGAACAUCUGACCAAAAAUGAUCCGGCUAAAAAGCCGAUCAACGAACCAAGUUACCCAAGGGAUAACAGCGCAAUCCCCUCCCAGAGCCCAUAUCUACGAGGGGGUUUACGACCUCGAUGUUGGAUCAGGACAUCCUAAUGGUGCAGCCGCUAUUAAGGGUUCGUUUGUUCAACGAUUAAAGUCC